CCCCUCUCUUUGUCUUGAAAACAAGGGAAAUUUUGACCCACCACACUAAGCCGCAAACUGUACUUUCCUCAGUUUUUUAGGAACUGUCUGCAGUCAUUUUCUAAUGUUUCCUUUCCUCCUCUUACUGCUUGUAUCAUAAUGCAUGAAACAGACAUACACUUUACCACCAGAGGCAUCCUUCUCCUUCUCUUCAUCACGAUUCACUGGAUCCUCUCCAUUUACUUCCUUCUUUCCAGGUGUGAUAUCCUGAAUCUCAGCUGGUGGUUCCUAUCGUUGAGGUUGCUCAACACUGGGCUGCUGGUCCUAGUAGAGUGUGCAUCAUUGUGGGAACAUGGAGAAAGGCUCAAUCUUUACAGCCUGACUACGGCGAUUUUCUCAGAGUCUAUGGCUGAGGACAAGAACUAUGGCACCGUGACACCUGUGAGGAGAAAGAUGACAACCUCGUGGGCCUUCCUUUUCAAUGGCCCCAUAUUGCAAUGUCCAACCAGCCCAAAACUCACUGGCUCCCCCUCACACGUACUCACACAACUCCAGACAGGACAGAUAUGUGGACUUACCUGGUAAGUCUCAAGUAGUGAGAAAGAAUUGAGACAGAAUAAACAUGUCCAUCUGAGGCCUAACGCUCCUCA
This 629-nucleotide long non-coding RNA is filed under the name Bos indicus x Bos taurus (hybrid cattle). Its description in RNAcentral is "lncRNA (ENSBIXG00000028811.1)". Lineage: Eukaryota; Metazoa; Chordata; Mammalia; Artiodactyla; Bovidae. The record is from RNAcentral.